Long non-coding RNA from Mytilus californianus (California mussel), 1853 nucleotides. RefSeq lists it as uncharacterized. The transcript has 10 exons. The record is from RefSeq and is a predicted model, not a curated record. Lineage: Eukaryota; Metazoa; Mollusca; Bivalvia; Mytilida; Mytilidae.
CUCAUCAUCGUCAAGAUUAAAUGACAAGAAAUCAGUGUUAAUGGAAUCGCCUGGAAAGGAAGAAGAAGUACAACAGACGCUAGAACUCUACUCUUCAGUCGAUGAGGAACAUAUAUUGCAGUAAUGAAACCAAGAAAAGUUUACAUAAGGAGACCCCCUCGGCCAUUUACAUAUGCCUCUUUGAUACGACAGGCUAUUGUAGAAUCUCCUAACCAUAACUUAACAUUAAGUGAAAUCUAUCGAUGGUUACACAAUGCAUAUUCUUAUAAACAGAUUGAUGAUAUAACCACAAUGAAGAACAAUGCCAGACAAGUUCUUAGUUUUAAUAAAUGUUUUUUUUCCGAGUAACAAAUGAAAAGAAUGAAGGAGUAUGGACAGUUAAUGAGAAGGAAUUCGACAAACUUAAAGCACCACAUAGAAGAUUAGAUGUGUAACAUAAUGUGAAGUCCUUCAAACGGUUUGGGUCCAUAAAAUUAGUAUAUAUUGUAUGUCAGCUGAUCAGCACAUCAUGUGUUCUUUUGUCUGUUUCAAUUUACUGCGAUGUUAUAGGCAUUUAUAACUAAACAUGGAAACAUAUAAACAGACUUUAUGAUACAAAUUUGUUGACAGCAUGAUUUCUUCAGUAAAAAUCUGUUUGAUUAAAUAUGUUUAGUUCCUGUAAUUGAAAAUCAUUUAAGUAUGUCACUUAUUCAGUUUUCUAUGCUUUUUACAAACAAUAUUUGUAGUGUGUUCAAUUAUGGGAACUGCAAAUAUUUGUCUUGGUCCAGAGAGCUUUGAUCUGAUCACUAUCACUCAUGGUAAAAUAUUUGAAAUAAAAGGCCAACCCAUGGUAAAAUCAAUAUAAAUUCAAGCCCCUAUAAGUUAUUUCUUAAUUAACUGUAUCUGGGUAUAAUACCAAGCAUGAAUAAUUCAAAUCUUAUUUACAAAAUAUGUUAUCGUACUCAAUAUGCAUGUAAUAUUUGCUACUGGCUAUUAAGCAGCCACUUAACUAUCUAUAUUUGUAUGCUAGUUGCAGUGAUCUUUUCUACCUUUUUAUUUUCAUUGUUGCUGUUUAACCAAAAGAAGUAAAAAUGGUCAGCAAUACAAGAUCAACGAAAUGAGAUUUUUUAAUUAUAUCUAAGUCUCCAAUGUUGGAAAUGUGCAUAGAUCCAGAACACCAAACAGCAACCAGAGCAGAAUGACCAUCUUUACCAAGUAUCACAAGAAGCUGCUGUAAAUUUUGAAGUUGAUGACUGAAAUGAAGAAUUAUGAAGAAAAGCUGGCCAACCAGAGGACAAUGAACAUCAUUACCAAGUAUCACAGGAUACUGCUCAUAACAUUAAUGUUGAUGGCUGCAAGGAAGUAUUACCUAGAAAAGCUGGUGAACCAGAGCCUGUACAAAAACUACAGAAUCUUGUGAACAAAAAAGGAAAAUGUUGGCAGAUUCAUCAUCCACACAGGUACUACGGGACUUGGAAAUUUCACUUCGUACCAAUCAUACAGAAUGGGUACGAGAGAUUUUUGAGUGAAGAAAACCAUGGACUAGAUGUUUUAGUGGACUAUUUAUCAUUUACACAGGUUGUCAUGAGAAGGGAGCAAUUACUUAACAAAGAGAAGAGUGCUAGUCUAGAUGGAUUGUCUUGGAGUCCAACACGAAGACUUAAGCGAUCAAAUACAAUAGGUUCUCCCCGAAGUAUCCAAAAUUCCAAAUUAAAUUUUGGGAGGCCAGAGAUGAUGUUCAUGUUUGUAUCGUGUGUUUAUGUGCCAUAAUGAACCAUCAGAGGCCAUUUUGAUCACAUUAUCAUCACUAUGACAACAACUUCACAGGAACAGAUCUGCAGAUUCAUGACAAAAAUAAAUUGUUUGUUUUAUCA